Molecule: ribosomal RNA, 253 nt
Filed under: uncultured bacterium
Lineage: Bacteria
Description: partial 16S ribosomal RNA
Rfam family: Bacterial small subunit ribosomal RNA
Source: RNAcentral
UACAGAGGAGCCAAGCGUUGUCCGGAUUGACUGGGCGUAAAGCGCACGCAGGCGGAUGCGCGCGUGGGGUGUGAAAUCUGGCCGCUUAACGGCCAGGCGCCAUCCCAUACGGCGCGUCUGGAGUGAUGCAGAGGUCGGUGGAAUUGGGGGUGUAGCGGUGGAAUGCGUAGAGAUCCCCAAGAACACCCGUUGCGAAGGCGGCUGACUGGACACAUAUUGACGCUGAGGCUCGAAAGCAUGGGGAGCAAACAGG